CCAACGUCCCACUCAGGACUAUACCUAAACGUGGAGGACAGAGCUCCGCCUUCGUCUCACCGAGUGCUUCUUGCUAUCAGCAGCUCCCGCACUUCCUCCCUUCACUCACUUCAGAGGGAAAAGAGGGAGUUUCCCCCUAUGCUUAAGGGACCAAGAAACAAGUUCGGAAGCUAUUUUUCUCAUCGUGGGACCAAAUAAAUACCCAACAAGAAGUGACUUACGGGAGAAAGUGUUUGUUUUGGCUCACUAUGGGAGCUGUCGCCCAUUACAAGGAGAAAGGGCGGCUGGCGACUGUGGCGGCUGGAGCUUGAGGCUGACCGUUCACAUCUUGGUAAACCAGGAGCCAGAGUGGGGCUGUAAACUGCAAGCUCUUAUCCUCAAGAUCUACUUCUUCCAGAACCAUUAAUCCUCCCUCACAAACGUUCCUAACCCUUCAGGUGAGCAGCAGGAAGUGGACCAAAUUGUUCAAACACAUGAGCCCAUCGUUUAAACCAUGCCAUUGAGGUCAGUCUGUCACUGGGUUAAAUAGUAAACUUGGCUCAGAGUUUUCACUAAAGAACACACUCGUCGUAAACUGUGUGUUAUUCUCUGCUGACUGGAACGCAUCUCAUCCACUCUGCCUACGUUUAUUUUUAUUUAUUUGAGACAAGGUCUUAUUGUAACCCUGUCUGACCUUGAAGGCCUGAUCCUCCUGCCUCUGCCACCUGAGUGCUGGGACUCCAGUGUGCACCACCGUGCCUGGUUUAUGUGGUGCUGGGGGUGAGACUCGUGGCUUCCUGCAUCCUGGACAAGUGCUUUGCUCACUGAGCAACAUCCCCAGAUCCCCUUGCCUGUAUUUAUGUUGUCUGACUCGCAAAUACCAUAGAGUUUUCACCUGUCUAGAGAGGCCAGAAUGUGACCCUUGGCUGCGUGCUCUGCUGUGUGUUGACCCUCCAGCGGCUCUUUCUCUUGGGGCGCUAUUAAAACAGGAUAGCUUCUGAUCAUAACUUUA
Molecule: long non-coding RNA, 991 nt
Filed under: Rattus norvegicus (Norway rat)
Lineage: Eukaryota; Metazoa; Chordata; Mammalia; Rodentia; Muridae
Description: long non-coding RNA NONRATT032928
Source: RNAcentral